GGGGGCGAUUGGCUUCGACCGGGCAGGUUGAGGCUUGGGUGGCAUGUCGAGGUGGUCAGGAGGCCUCGUUAAACACCUGGCAAAACCCUUAAAUGCCAAUGAUGGCUACAGACUGGCUGCCUAACAACUAGGUAGCCCGUCGGCCGGCGACACCUGCUAGCCGGUCCCGACGCUGACAGCAGGCUGGCACACACGUUCCCGUCGGGCGGCGUGCGUGCGAGAAAUAGCCGGGCUCGGCGCGCGGAUGACCUGUCGGCCGGUCUGCCAAGCGCUUAAAGCAGUCAAAUCAGCCGACUAAACAUGUAGAGGCCCAGGCUGAAAUGCUUCGGGACGGGGGUUCGAUUCCCCCCGCCUCCAA
This 358-nucleotide transfer-messenger RNA is filed under the name Phycisphaerae bacterium. It matches the Rfam family "transfer-messenger RNA". Rfam says of the family: Bacterial tmRNA, also known as 10Sa RNA or SsrA, is named for its dual tRNA and mRNA-like properties. Its role is to liberate the mRNA from a stalled ribosome. The record is from RNAcentral. Lineage: Bacteria; Pseudomonadati; Planctomycetota; Phycisphaerae.